UGAAGUAAAUAAACUCUACAUAAAUUGUGUGAGCUGUUAGUGAGGCUUAUGUUCUUAGGUUUAAGGUCUUAUCUUGAGUGAUUUUGGAAGCUCUCAAGUGGUGUCCAACACACUCAUCUUGGAGCACAUCACACUCCAAGUGGCGUGACAUUUCUCACCCACCAUCUUAAGUUUUCUCAUUCCAUUUUCCUUUCAUUUCUCCAUUUCAUUUAAUGUAUUUGUCUCUUAUUCUAUUCUUUGCUGCUCUUGGGUUUCGCUCAUAAUCAAGGUAUGGUGCAUCAUUUGGGAGGCCAUGACCACCACUGANNN
Molecule: long non-coding RNA, 309 nt
Filed under: Phaseolus vulgaris (common bean)
Lineage: Eukaryota; Viridiplantae; Streptophyta; Magnoliopsida; Fabales; Fabaceae
Description: long non-coding RNA (PVUL_LNC004983)
Source: RNAcentral